GUCAUCAUCCUCCUCGUCUGCUUCUUCUUCUUCCUCCAUUGUACCUUCAGAAGAAACGGGCAAUUUCUUAAACCGACUCUUCGAAAAGGCAUAAACUCUAAAAGACUUUCUCAUUGUCGUCGGAUCUUCUUAAUAUCAUUCUCUAGCCGUUGGAUCUUCCAAAACCCUAAACCCAUCAGGUGAAUUCACAUUCUUCUCCUCUUGCUGUCAUUAUACAGUUAAUUUCCGGUCUCGGAUUGUGGAAAAUAGAGAUUUUGAUGGUCUUAUCUUUAAAUUCAUGUGAAAUUCUUCCUUAUUCUUAGAAUUCGAUAACAAAUGCUGUUAGGAGUUAACUAGUGUUUUGUCCAAGAGGUGGAAAAGUUUCUGGCUUUGGAUUGGGGAUCUUAUGAGUUCCCAGAUUUACAAAAAGUUUAAACCUUUAUUGCAUAUAGAAACACAAGCUUACAAAGGUUUUGGUAGAUCGGUUACAACAUCAAAUGUAGAGAUUUAUAUAACUCUUCUCACACUCAAAGGUAAGAGAUGAACAAGAUUAUUCAAUCAGAGUUCUUUAGAUUCAGAAGAGCUGAUUUUUGCUGUUUGGUCUUCUUCAGCUGCAAUGUUGACAACUCUUGGACCCUUGACCUUUUCAGGAGACAGCUUAUUGAGGUUAAUAGUGAGCACACCAUUCUCGAGCUUGGCCUUGACAGAGUCCAUAUCCACAUUAUCAGGUAGCUUGAACUGUCUCCAGAACUUUCCAUAUGAUCUCUCAACUCUAUGCCACUGAUCUCCUUUCUUCUCUUCUUCUCUUUUCCUCUCUCCACUGACUCGCAGGACUCGAUUCUCUUCGACUUCUAUCUUUAUCUCGUCUUUCUUCAAACCGGGCACAUCGAGCAUUAUCUCAUGUCCUUGUGCUGUUUCUUUCCAGUCCACUCUCGUUGGGGAUAGAGCCACGCUUUGGUCCCUCUCGAGUUCUAAUGGGAUUCUCUCCAAGAUUUUGAAUGGAUCGGGAAACCGGUCUAGCCAGAGAUCCGAUAGCCAGCUGCUCGGUGUGUCCAGUGCAGAUGACAAAGACCCUUCAUUUGGUUUGAUGUUUCCAAGAAACAAAGCUCCUAUGAAGAGACU
Molecule: long non-coding RNA, 1101 nt
Filed under: Eutrema salsugineum
Lineage: Eukaryota; Viridiplantae; Streptophyta; Magnoliopsida; Brassicales; Brassicaceae
Description: long non-coding RNA (ESAL_LNC000866)
Source: RNAcentral